RNAcentral lists this long non-coding RNA (209 nucleotides) under Manihot esculenta (cassava). RNAcentral describes it as "long non-coding RNA (MESC_LNC001976)". The record is from RNAcentral. Lineage: Eukaryota; Viridiplantae; Streptophyta; Magnoliopsida; Malpighiales; Euphorbiaceae.
UCUUCUUUUCGUAAUUGUAAUACUUACACUGUAUAAGCUUUUUUCGAACUAAACUAGCCUUUAGUUAUGAGCUCGGUUCUCAGCUAAUUGUCUGAGCUUAUGAGAAGUCCGAUCACAUACCUUUUAAUGGUACUUAGCUGGGCUUCCUUUUUAGUUCUGACUUGUCAGGAAAUGAAGCUGAGGUCCUUUCUUCCCAAGUUGCCCCUUUG